RNAcentral lists this transfer RNA (71 nucleotides) under Cricetulus griseus (Chinese hamster). It matches the Rfam family "tRNA". Rfam says of the family: Transfer RNA (tRNA) molecules are approximately 80 nucleotides in length. Lineage: Eukaryota; Metazoa; Chordata; Mammalia; Rodentia; Cricetidae. The record is from Rfam by way of RNAcentral.
GGCAUUGUGGUCAAGUGGUAAGAUAUUGGUCUGUAAACUGAAGAUCAGGGUUUCAAACCCUGUCUGUGCCU